This 548-nucleotide ribosomal RNA is filed under the name Thermoascus crustaceus. Its description in RNAcentral is "eukaryotic LSU rRNA". The stretch from base 188 to 341 matches the Rfam family "5.8S ribosomal RNA". The record is from RNAcentral. Lineage: Eukaryota; Fungi; Ascomycota; Eurotiomycetes; Eurotiales; Thermoascaceae.
GAAGGAUCAUUACCGAGUGCGGGUCCUUCGGGGCCCAACCUCCCACCCGUGUCUACCGUACCGUGUUGCUUCGGCGGGCCCGCCGCAAGGCCGCCGGGGGGGCGUCCCCCCGGCCCGUGCCCGCCGGAGACCCUGUGAACGCUGAUCUGUGAAGGCGUGUCGUCUGAGUCGCGUGAGAAAUCGUGAAAACUUUCAACAACGGAUCUCUUGGUUCCGGCAUCGAUGAAGAACGCAGCGAAAUGCGAUAAGUAAUGUGAGUUGCAGAAUUCCGUGAAUCAUCGAAUCUUUGAACGCACAUUGCGCCCUCUGGUAUUCCGGGGGGCAUGCCUGUCCGAGCGUCAUUGCUGCCCUCAAGCACGGCUUGUGUGUUGGGCCGCCGUCCCCGCCCUCCGCGGGGGGACGGGCCCGAAAGGCAGCGGCGGCGCCGCGUCCGGUCCUCGAGCGUAUGGGGCUCUGUCACCCGCUCUGCAGGCCCGGCCGGCGCCCGCCGAGUCAACCACUUCUUUCCAGGUUGACCUCGGAUCAGGUAGGGAUACCCGCUGAACUUA